ACGGGUGCGUAACGCGUAUGCUACCUACCUAUCACUGGGGGAUAGCCCGGGGAAACCCGGAUUAAUACCGCAUAAAACAGGGGCACCGCAUGGUGAUAUUUGUUAAAGAUUUAUUGGUGAUAGAUGGGCAUGCGUUCGAUUAGCUAGUUGGCGGGGUAACGGCCCACCAAGGCGACGAUCGAUAGGGGAGCUGAGAGGUUGAUCCCCCACACGGGCACUGAGAUACGGGCCCGACUCCUACGGGAGGCAGCAGUAGGGAAUAUUGGGCAAUGGAUGCAAGUCUGACCCAGCCAUGCCGCGUGCCGGAUGAAGGCCCUCAGGGUUGUAAACGGCUUUUAUUCGGGAAGAAGAGCAGGGAUGCGUCCUUGUGUGACGGUACCGAAUGAAUAAGCACCGGCUAACUCCGUGCCAGCAGCCGCGGUAAUACGGAGGGUGCGAGCGUUGUCCGGAUUUAUUGGGUUUAAAGGGUGCGUAGGUGGCUGUUUAAGUCAGUGGUGAAAUACGGUUGCUCAACAAUCGAGGUGCCAUUGAUACUGAAUAGCUUGAAAUAAUUGGAGGCUGCCCGGAAUGUAAUGGUGUAGCGGU
RNAcentral lists this ribosomal RNA (585 nucleotides) under Dyadobacter sp. BvIRHM091. RNAcentral describes it as "bacterial SSU rRNA". It matches the Rfam family "Bacterial small subunit ribosomal RNA", at positions 102 to 682 of the family's 1533-position model. The record is from RNAcentral. Lineage: Bacteria; Pseudomonadati; Bacteroidota; Cytophagia; Cytophagales; Spirosomataceae.